GCGCGAAAACUUUACAAUGCUGGCAACAGCGAUAAGGGAACCUCGAGUGCCAGGUUACAAAUCUGGCUGUCGAGAUGCCUAAAAAGCAUUUCAUAGCAAGGGCCAGGCAAGACCGGUGCCAGCCGCCGCGGUAACACCGGCGGCUCGAGUGGUAACCGUUAUUAUUGGGUCUAAAGGGUCUGUAGCCGGCCGGAUAAGUCUCUUGGGAAAUCUGGCAGCUUAACUGUCAGGCUUUCAGGAGAUACUGUCUGGCUCGAGGCCGGGAGAGGUGAGAGGUACUUCAGGGGUAGGGGUGAAAUCUUGUAAUCCUUGAAGGACCACCAGUGGCGAAGGCGUCUCACCAGAACGGACCUGACGGCAAGGGACGAAAGCUAGGGGCACGAACA
RNAcentral lists this ribosomal RNA (386 nucleotides) under uncultured prokaryote. RNAcentral describes it as "bacterial SSU rRNA". It matches the Rfam family "Archaeal small subunit ribosomal RNA", at positions 339 to 725 of the family's 1478-position model. The record is from RNAcentral.